GCGGCAGCACGGGAAGCUUGCUUCCUGGUGGCGAGCGGCGGACGGGAGAGUAAUGCAUAGAAAUCUGCCCGGUAGUGGGGGAUAACCUGGGGAAACCCAGGCUAAUACCGCAUACGUCCUACGGGAGAAAGCAGGGGAUCUUCGGACCUUGCGCUAUCGGAUGAGUCUAUGUCGGAUUAGCUUGUUGGUGAGGUAAUGGCUCACCAAGGCGACGAUCCGUAGCUGGUCUGAGAGGAUGAUCAGCCACAUCGGGACUGAGACACGGCCCGAACUCCUACGGGAGGCAGCAGUGGGGAAUAUUGGACAAUGGGCGAAAGCCUGAUCCAGCCAUGCCGCGUGUGUGAAGAAGGCCUUCGGGUUGUAAAGCACUUUCAGUGGGGAAGAAAGCCUUGGGGCUAAUACCCUCGAGGAAGGACAUCACCCACAGAAGAAGCACCGGCUAACUCCGUGCCAGCAGCCGCGGUAAUACGGAGGGUGCGAGCGUUAAUCGGAAUUACUGGGCGUAAAGCGCGCGUAGGCGGUCUGAUAAGCCGGUUGUGAAAGCCCCGGGCUCAACCUGGGAACGGCAUCCGGAACUGUCAGGCUAGAGUGCAGGAGAGGAAGGUAGAAUUCCCGGUGUAGCGGUGAAAUGCGUAGAGAUCGGGAGGAAUACCAGUGGCGAAGGCGGCCUUCUGGACUGACACUGACGCUGAGGUGCGAAAGCGUGGGUAGCAAACAGGAUUAGAUACCCUGGUAGUCCACGCCGUAAACGAUGUCGACUAGCCGUUGGGGUCCUUGAGACCUUUGUGGCGCAGUUAACGCGAUAAGUCGACCGCCUGGGGAGUACGGCCGCAAGGUUAAAACUCAAAUGAAUUGACGGGGGCCCGCACA
Molecule: ribosomal RNA, 870 nt
Filed under: Halomonas ventosae
Lineage: Bacteria; Pseudomonadati; Pseudomonadota; Gammaproteobacteria; Oceanospirillales; Halomonadaceae
Description: bacterial SSU rRNA
Rfam family: Bacterial small subunit ribosomal RNA
Source: RNAcentral